GAUGAACGCUGGCGGCAUGCCUAACACAUGCAAGUCGAUCGGUAAGGCUCUUCGGAGUACACGAGGGGCGGACGGCUGAGUAACGCGUAGGAACACACCCUGCAGUGAGGGAUAAGACACCGAAAGGUGUUCUAAUACCGCAUACGGUCUUCGGAUUAAAGCAUUUAUGCGCUGAAGGAGUGGCCUGCGUCAUAUUAGAUAGUUGGUGAGGUAAUGGCUCACCAAGUCGAUGAUGUGUAGCUGGUCUGAGAGGAUGAUCAGCCAGACUGGAACUGAGACACGGUCCAGACUCCUACGGGAGGCAGCAGUGAGGAAUAUUUCACAAUGAGCGAAAGCUUGAUGGAGCAAUGCCGCGUGCAGGAUGAAGGCCCUCGGGUUGUAAACUGCUUUUAUAAGAGAAGAUUAUGACGGUAACUUAUGAAUAAGGGACGGCUAACUACGUG
RNAcentral lists this ribosomal RNA (443 nucleotides) under uncultured bacterium. RNAcentral describes it as "partial 16S ribosomal RNA". It matches the Rfam family "Bacterial small subunit ribosomal RNA", at positions 28 to 507 of the family's 1533-position model. The record is from RNAcentral.